Long non-coding RNA from Brassica napus (rape), 3478 nucleotides. RefSeq lists it as uncharacterized. The transcript is spliced from 6 exons. The record is from RefSeq and is a predicted model, not a curated record. NCBI's taxonomy places the organism in Eukaryota, Viridiplantae, Streptophyta, Magnoliopsida, Brassicales, Brassicaceae.
CUAAAAUCUACAACAAAAUCAAAAACCAAAACUCAAAAACUAAAAUCUAAAAACCAAAAACCAAAAUUCAAAAACCAAAAACUAAAAUCUAAAAACUGGAAAAACAAUCAUCACCAUAGUGAAUUAAAAACUAAAUCGUGGUCGGUGUGUUGGCGUUCAUUGAAAAAGUGACCAAUACAUCCAGCACCCACGCAGAUAUAAUAAUCAGUUUUAAAACAAAAUUAACUUGCAAAUGUUUUCCUUCAAUAACAGAGACACAUGUUAUGAAGAAUAAAAUAGAUUAACUCAUUGGAUGAUCCGAAGCAGUGGCAGAGGUAGAGAGGUGGUAAGGGGGGCAGCUGCCCCACAUGAAUUAUUGGAAAAAAUUUAGUUUCAUUGAUUUUUUGAAAAUUUUACAAUAAGUGUUAAAAUCCCUUCUAAUGCCUCUCAUGAUUUUAAGCUCAAACAUUAUAUUUCCCCUGGUGAAUCUUCCGGCUGGCUCCGCCACUGAUCCGAAGGCCCUUUCUCAAAAAGAAAAGAAAAAAUUGAUUGGAUGAUCUGUAUACAACACCAACAAUAAGGAAAGUAAGUUUUUGAAGUUAAGAUUAACAAAUUAAAGGUAUAAAAAGAUUUAAAGAACAAUAUUCGAUAUCUAUAUUAUAGUUUGUUCCAUGCAGGAACAUCUAUCCAUGUCACAACAGAUUUUGUAACCAAAUGAGGCUAAUAGAUUACUAAUAUGCUGUAAACAAAAUAUGAUAUCAAAAACAAGAGGAUACGAAAAAUAGUUGUGGCUAACAAAGAAAGCUGAUAAGUAUAAAAAAUGACAGAAAGAAGAGUUCAUUUAAUUCCAAAUGAUGAUGUAAACUAAGCUAAAUAAAGAAUGAAGUCCAGAUUUUUUAAUUAAUCUUAUAUGUAAUUACCAUUAAUACUUUCCAAUUAAAAAAAAUAGGCUAUUACACUUUCAAAUUAUCAUGCAUAUGUUUAAACUUAGAUUUUCAUGCAUAUAUUUAAAUUUAAAGUGUCAUGCAUAUAUUUAAACUCAAACUUAUUUUAUAAUAACCUCAAAAUCAACUAUGCAGAGCUAUUUGAUUGUAGAUCUCUAUUUCAUUGAUACACAUUUUAUUUUUUAAAUAAUAUUGAAGAUGUUCUGAAUUAUAAACCAUAACAAAACCAUAUUUAGACUUCAAAAAAAGAAAAACAAAUAUUUAAAUUUUAAUUUAAUAAAAAUUUAUAUUAAAUAUUUACUCUAACUAUUUCAACUAUUUUCGAAAUAACAUCCCGCCCGUAGGGCGGGCCGACCCUAUUAUAUAUUAUUAUAAAGAAGAGUUUCUUUCUCUCCUGUUGCGCCACGUCAGAUUCCACAUAGGUAAUUCAAUUUAUGUGUUUGCGACACGUGUCGCCUGACUUUUAUUUUUUCGGAUUGUGAUUUCUAUUGGGUUCAGAGGGGAAAAGUUUUGGCCCGUUAAAAGCUGGCCCUUUGGUCCUUCUAUCUUCUUCACGAUUUGUCGUGUCCGUCUCUUAGGGUUAUGUCGUAUCCUCGAAGCUUUAAUAAGUUCCAGUAACAAUGGUAUUUCUGAAUGUCGAGUGAGACGAGUCAUUGUGAAGAAGCUCUGUGUCAAGCUUCGAUUCGUCGUUUCGUCUUUGGUUCUUAUUCUCCGAGACGUUACGAGAUUUCUUGAUUCAUCGCCUUUAAGAAACUUCUUAACUCCCUCAAGCACGAUGUCUCAUCAAAUGCUCUCUUAGAGGCGGUGUAUCUCCACCUACAAAAUGGUCAGCCUUCGUACCCUGAACAUCAUCGUCACACUUCCUAACAGUAGAAACUUCUUUAUGGCAAGGAGACUCCAACUUCGUUGACUCAUACAACUUCCAAUUCAAAGAGAGAUUGUUGGACCCAAGAGAAGCAAGCAGGAUCAAGCUGGAAGAAAUAAAAACUUAAUGGAGACGUGUAUAUGAGAUAUCACGGUGUUGAAGGUGAUUCUUAGAUGCAUCAACGUGGUUAGCUCCUACACGAUUGGGAGAUUAAUCCAAGUUCAUAUUGAUACAGUAUGUUGUUAUACGCUGGUAAAGGACAUCUGAAGUACUUCUACAAUCCUAUGUAUACACAUAAAAAGUUGUGGCUCUUCCCUGAGAUCCAUGCAACAGACCGACUGCUGCAGAGGCUCUGUACAUCCCGUUCUUUCAGUGGAUUUAUACAGAUUCAACCCCAAGUGUGGCCCGAGAUAUUCCCCCUGAAACGAGGAUACUAAUGGGAUAUGGUGUUGUAGUCGGAUUUUCGGAAUACUUUAAGUUGAGUAGCGGUAUGAACUAGAGCAGAGUGAUUUGUGACCACUACAUCUUUCUUAUACAUCUGGAAGGAGUGAGGCCAGAAUGAAAAUGAAAAGACAUGCGAGUGCAUAUCAAAGCAUCAUCUUUCAGAAACAAAAGUUACCCCUCACGAAUCCCAUCAUGCGUCUCAUGCCUCCACUUGAACAAAUAUUUUUUGUACUUUGUCUUUUCCUAAAGAGCGAUGGAAAACUCGAGAGGGAGAGAGAGAGAGAGAGAGAGAAAAUAUAUAUAUAACAUAUUGAAAUGUAUAAUCCAAGCUAUCAUAAAUAAUAUAUAUAAAAACUGAAAUGUAUAAUCCGGCUUCAGCUCACGACGGCGCGACACAUGUCCUUUCACACAAUCCGCAGCGUUUCAUUAACGUAAUUAUUCAAUAGAUGUGAGCUUUGUUUUGUGUUUGAGCUUUAUGUUUUGCCGAAGGAACCAGCCUAAUACAGAGUGCAAACGUAAGCGUCUCAGACUUAAUGGUAGGGUUCUUCCAAUUUUUGUUCUCCACCGUUCCAGAGCGUAUAUUGCUUGGCAAACAAGUUAUUAAUCAAACAUAUAUUCUCUAUAUUAUAUUAUCUUUUUUUAUGCCUCAUAAUAAAUUUAUAGUAAAUUUAAAAUUAAAAUAAUGUAUUACUCGGUAUAGCAAAUGAAAACAAUAUAUGAGGUAAUAGAAUAAGUAAAAUAGCCACUAAUUAUACACUGAAACCGAAUAAUAAAUUUUUAUUAAAAAUACAAAUACAUUCAAUAUAUACAAAAUGUAAAAUCAUCGAUGUCCUGAGCACUAAACCUAACCACAACAAUAGAAACUUGGAUAUACUUACUAUAUAUAUAAAAAUUGAGCAAACAUUUAACAAUGUAUACCAUUUCAAUCAUGCGUAUCAUACUCAUACACACUUAUAAUCUCUAACAGUAAUAAUAAAAAUAAACAAUUCAAGUUAGACAAAUGUAAAGAUGAUAUAAAAUAUGUUCUCAUUAUAAAACAUAACAAAUAGACAGAAGAUAAUAAAUAAACUAAUAUAAUGUCAAAAAUAUAUAUUUGAAAACAAAUAAAAAUACAAAAACAAAUGACAAAAAUAAGCAAACAUCAAACGUUAAGUAAAAAUGGAUAUAAUGUCCUUCAUCAUUUAAAUUUUCCUACUAAACAAUAAACAUUAUUAUACACAUUUCCUGCAAAUGCAAACCUAAAACA